CUAAAUGGAUUCUCAAAAUUGGCUAUCUAUGCACUAGUCCCCUAGGGUUUUAGCCCAAACCCUCUACCUUCAUUUCUACAGUAAAACUUUCUCAUCAAUUCACAUACAUUCUCAAGAAUUCUCCUUUCCGAUGGCUAUCGCCGCCGCUAGAUCCAUUUUACGGUCACCGGCCGUUCGAAAUGCCGCAUCAAAAAUCGCUUCGGAAGCUAAAGCAGCUCGAUCUCCCUUUCGCUCACCUUCUAGAACUCCUCUUACUCAUCGCAUCUUCAGGUGCCCUUCGGAGAUGAGCGCUUGUUUGGAGUCGCUGCAACCAUACCACACUGUCACUGCUUCGGCUUUGAUGACUUCUAAGCUUACUGAUUCUCUCCGCAGUUACAGUUGGCUUUCAGAAGUUAGGCUAUUGGUUUUUCCUUGAUAAUCGAGAAAUUUCUAAGGGCCAGUGGUACGAGGUCGAAACUCGAAACACAAUGGUAUCUAGCAAGACCUAUAGGAUCCUCAUUUGAUGUCCUUCCCUCAUUUUCUACUUUGCCUUAAAUGAAGAUGUGUGAUGAUUUUUGGAGAGCUGGAGCAAAAAUUACAAGUGUGUACUUUCUCACACUGGCGCGCUAAGUAAAGAGGGUUGUAAUGAGCUGCUCCUGCAUUUUCUAAAAUUUUGUACUUAGAAAUGGUAGCUAGAUCUCAUUUUUCGAAAUACAAACAUCCUCGUCUUGUAAGUUGGAGCUCAGCACUUAUGUCUGACUCUGUGCCUUUCUCUUUAAAUCUUUAUUUAACUUUCUGUAUGUAACUGUGCUAUUGAUGUUUCUAAGAUAAACUUUUGUGGUCA
Capsicum annuum is the source of this 823-nucleotide RNA transcript. It is a transcript of the gene named protein NUCLEAR FUSION DEFECTIVE 6, mitochondrial, with no coding region annotated. NCBI's taxonomy places the organism in Eukaryota, Viridiplantae, Streptophyta, Magnoliopsida, Solanales, Solanaceae. The transcript has 5 exons. The record is from RefSeq and is a predicted model, not a curated record.